Molecule: ribosomal RNA, 450 nt
Filed under: uncultured bacterium
Lineage: Bacteria
Description: bacterial SSU rRNA
Rfam family: Bacterial small subunit ribosomal RNA
Source: RNAcentral
AGAGUUUGAUCCUGGCUCAGAUUGAACGCUGGCGGAAUGCUUUACACAUGCAAGUCGAACGGGCUUGAGGGGCUUGCUCCUCAAGUUAGUGGCGAACGGGUGAGUAAUGCAUCGGAACGUGCCCAGUCGUGGGGGAUAACGCAGCGAAAGCUGUGCUAAUACCGCAUACGAUCUAUGGAUGAAAGCGGGGGACCGUAAGGCCUCGCGCGAUUGGAGCGGCCGAUGUCAGAUUAGCUAGUUGGUGGGGUAAAGGCCCACCAAGGCGACGAUCUGUAGCUGGUCUGAGAGGACGACCGGCCACACUGGGACUGAGACACGGCCCAGACUCCUACGGGAGGCAGCAGUGGGGAAUUUUGGACAAUGGGCGCAAGCCUGAUCCAGCAAUGCCGCGUGCAGGAAGAAGGCCUUCGGGUUGUAAACUGCUUUUGUACGGAACGAAACGGUCUGGGU